GUAACGGCGAGCGAAGUGGGAACAGCUCGAGCCUGAAAUCCCUGGCAGGUGCUGCCAGAGAAUUGUGGCCGGGAGAGGCGGCGUUGCCCCGACUGUCGCUGUCGAAGUUGACCUGGAAAGGCACGUCGGAGAGGGUGAGAGCCCCGUGCGCGACACCGACGGGAAGGGCCGCUACCGUCUUCUGAGAGUCGGGUUGUUUGGGAAUGCAGCCCAAAGUGGGUGGUAAACUCCAUCUAAAGCUAAAUACCGGCACGAGACCGAUAGCGAACAAGUACCAUGAGGGAAAGGUGAAAAGUACUUUGAAAAGAGAGUCAAAAAGACCGCGAAACCGUUAGGAGGGAAACGAAUGCAGCUGAAGUGGCUCCGUAUCAGGUUCAGGGGACGUCGGAGACGCUCUGGGCGGUUGGCGAGUGUCGCCGCCCUGAGAGGCCUCCGACCGCUCUGCACUCCUGUUGGGAGCCGGCCAACAGCAGUUGCUUCAGGCCCAGAAGGUCGGUCGGGAGGUGCCCCUGCACUCGUGCAGGGAGCGUAUAGCCGUUCGGUCCGGAGGUCCGGGAGCGACUGAGGAGAGUCGUGAAUUUUCACGCGUGCAGCGCAGGCCCUUCGGGGCCGGGCCGCCUCUGUCCGUUUGGGUCCCGCGGUGGGGACUGCGUGCAGUGUCUGCUGACGGUUCGCCUGCUCGGUCGGGGGGUCGGCCACGCCUUGCGCUCGGGCUGUUGGUGCUCAAAUGGCUGCAUCCGACCCGUCUUGAAACACGGACCAAGGAGUGCAACAUGCGCGCGAGUCUUUGGG
RNAcentral lists this ribosomal RNA (792 nucleotides) under Clionaida sp. 2 JV-2020. RNAcentral describes it as "partial large subunit ribosomal RNA". It matches the Rfam family "Eukaryotic large subunit ribosomal RNA", at positions 83 to 698 of the family's 3401-position model. The record is from RNAcentral. Lineage: Eukaryota; Metazoa; Porifera; Demospongiae; Clionaida.